UUCCGGUUGAUCCCGCCGGACCCGACUGCUAUCAGAGUGGGACUAAGCCAUGCGAGUCAACGUAGCAAUACGUGGCAUACGGCACAGUAACACGUAGUCAACAUGCCCAGGGGACGUGGAUAACCUCGGGAAACUGAGGAUAAACCGCGAUAGGUCAAGAUUUCUGGAAUGGAUCAUGACUUAAACCUAUAUGGCCCCUGGAUUGGACUGCGGCCGAUCAGGCUGUUGGUGAGGUAAUGGCCCACCAAACCUGUAACCGGUACGGGCUCUGAGAGGAGGAGCCCGGAGAUGGGCACUGAGACAAGGGCCCAGGCCCUAUGGGGCGCAGCAGGCGCGAAACCUCUGCAAUAGGCGAAAGCUUGACAGGGUUACUCUGAGUGAUUCCCGCUAAGGGGAUCUUUUGACACCUCUAAAAAUGGUGUAGAAUAAGGGGUGGGCAAGUCUGGUGUCAGCCGCCGCGGUAAUACCAG
RNAcentral lists this ribosomal RNA (470 nucleotides) under uncultured archaeon. RNAcentral's name for it is "bacterial SSU rRNA". It matches the Rfam family "Archaeal small subunit ribosomal RNA", at positions 1 to 479 of the family's 1478-position model. The record is from RNAcentral.